AGUGAACGCUGGCGGUAGGCCUAACACAUGCAAGUCGAACGGCAGCACAGUAAGAGCUUGCUCUUACGGGUGGCGAGUGGCGGACGGGUGAGGAAUACAUCGGAAUCUACUUUUUCGUGGGGGAUAACGUAGGGAAACUUACGCUAAUACCGCAUACGACCUACGGGUGAAAGCAGGGGAUCUUCGGACCUUGCGCGAUUGAAUGAGCCGAUGUCGGAUUAGCUAGUUGGCGGGGUAAAGGCCCACCAAGGCGACGAUCCGUAGCUGGUCUGAGAGGAUGAUCAGCCACACUGGAACUGAGACACGGUACAGACUCCUACGGGAGGCAGCAGUGGGGAAUAUUGGACAAUGGGCGCAAGCCUGAUCCAGCCAUACCGCGUGGGUGAAGAAGGCCUUCGGGUUGUAAAACCCUUUUGUUGGGAAAGAAAAGCAGCAGGUUAAUACCCCGCUGUUCUGACGGUACCCAAAGAAUAAGCACCGGCUAACUUCGUG
This 492-nucleotide ribosomal RNA is filed under the name uncultured bacterium. RNAcentral's name for it is "partial 16S ribosomal RNA". It matches the Rfam family "Bacterial small subunit ribosomal RNA", at positions 29 to 507 of the family's 1533-position model. The record is from RNAcentral.